GCCGCGAGGGUGAGUAGCUACACCCCGUGACAGCCGCCUUUCACGCUCCUUGGAGAUGUGAGAAACCGGGGCCUUGUAAUCUCUUGGUCGCAGGUUCGAAUCCUGCCGGGGGCA
This 114-nucleotide transfer RNA is filed under the name Glaciibacter psychrotolerans. Its description in RNAcentral is "tRNA-Thr". The record is from RNAcentral. Lineage: Bacteria; Bacillati; Actinomycetota; Actinomycetes; Micrococcales; Microbacteriaceae.